This 421-nucleotide ribosomal RNA is filed under the name uncultured bacterium. Its description in RNAcentral is "bacterial SSU rRNA". It matches the Rfam family "Bacterial small subunit ribosomal RNA", at positions 357 to 775 of the family's 1533-position model. The record is from RNAcentral.
AGGAAUAUUGGUCAAUGGACGCGAGUCUGAACCAGCCAAGUAGCGUGAAGGAUGACUGCCCUAUGGGUUGUAAACUUCUUUUAUAUGGGAAUAAAGUUUUCCACGUGUGGAAUUUUGUAUGUACCAUAUGAAUAAGGAUCGGCUAACUCCGUGCCAGCAGCCGCGGUAAUACGGAGGAUCCGAGCGUUAUCCGGAUUUAUUGGGUUUAAAGGGAGCGUAGGUGGAUUGUUAAGUCAGUUGUGAAAGUUUGCGGCUCAACCGUAAAAUUGCAGUUGAAACUGGCAGUCUUGAGUACAGCAGAGGUGGGCGGAAUUCGUGGUGUAGCGGUGAAAUGCUUAGAUAUCACGCAGAACUCCGAUUGCGAAGGCAGCAUACCGGCGCCCUACUGACGCUGAGGCACGAAAGCGUGGGUAUCGAACAG